AGCGGUGCAUGGGCUGCGGGGUGGCGGGGGCUGCUGUUCCGGCGGCGCGCUCGGAGCGGAGCGUGGAGGUGUGAGCGGAGCGGCGGCGGGCCGGCUAUAAAAGGCUGCUUUCUGCCCCGAGCCGGGUCCCCCCGAACCCGAGCCCCAGACCAAGCCGUGCUGUCCAUCUGGCCAGAAGGGAGGAGCUGCCGCUGGAAGAGCCGGGGAGAGAUGGGACCUGUCACUCGGCAGCGGAGCGCGGUGCGGGCACAGCGGCAAGGAGCCCUGGAGUCUCUGAGGAGGGGGCUCCGCUCCUCCAGGACCCUCCUGCUUUGUGAGAAGUGAGGACUCUCAUCUCAAGAGAAGGUUUUAUAUUUCCUUAAAAAUGAUCAAUUAUGGACAAGAGAAGACACAUUCAGGACACUUGGGAGCAGAAGACUUGUAGACUCACUGUCACAGAAAGCUAAGAAAACAGUUGAGUCUGAAGGAAGCUGCUGAGUUGAAGUCCCAGUACCUUGCACGUGUGCCAGUGCUCAAGGAAGAUGGUAAUACUUAACUCUUGCAGAGUUCACUGGAUCUUCAAAGACAUAGAGAAAUGUUGCAUGAUUUCCA
This 591-nucleotide long non-coding RNA is filed under the name Manacus vitellinus (golden-collared manakin). RNAcentral describes it as "lncRNA (ENSMVIG00005005286.1)". The record is from RNAcentral. Lineage: Eukaryota; Metazoa; Chordata; Aves; Passeriformes; Pipridae.